CUUCUUUUUCUCUCGCCUCUCUCUCUAUUUUUAGCAAAAGCAUAGAGGAAGAGGUUCCGGAUUGCUGCAGUACAUAGAAAUAUGUCUCUUUCGACAAUAUGUUGGAUCGGAGAUGUCCGGGAGGAGAAGCAUACACCGGCGACUUCAAUCAUCAUUGUAAACGCCUUGAAGAACGUAAAAUUUCAAGGGCCUAAGUUUAUGAGUCAAGGUUUGAAGACUCAGAAGACGUGGUUCAGAGAACAAUGAUGAUGAACCACCGAAAUGGAUGAGUUUCCGGUCUCUGCUGGUAUUCUCCAUGUUUUUCCAAGUCUUUUUGAUUGUCUAUGGAGAAUGGCAAGAUGCUCUCAUGGAGGUUCGGUACAUUGAUGUUGAUUACAUUGUUUUUUUUUAAUGCUGCUUUGUUGAUGGCAUCUGGUGAAUCUCCUUACAAGAGAACCACAUACCGAUAUUCGCCUUUGCUAAACAAUGUCUAACUCCUAAUUCUUUCUUUCAUUGGUCACUUGGAAAGUUUCUCUUCUUAGCUUCUGAUUUGUUUGAUGAUUUGUUCUUUGGUCAUUCUGAAUUUUAUUUUCAUGUUUCAUAUUUGUGGGUAGGCUAUCCUUACUAUUUUGAAAGAACGUAAGGUGCCUGAGAAGAUAUGUACAUACAUUAUUCUGUAAUGGUUUGGCUUUUCAAUCCGUUUACAUUCA
This is a long non-coding RNA of Camelina sativa (false flax), 689 nucleotides long. RefSeq lists it as uncharacterized. The record is from RefSeq and is a predicted model, not a curated record. Lineage: Eukaryota; Viridiplantae; Streptophyta; Magnoliopsida; Brassicales; Brassicaceae.